Molecule: long non-coding RNA, 2578 nt
Organism: Phyllostomus discolor (pale spear-nosed bat)
Lineage: Eukaryota; Metazoa; Chordata; Mammalia; Chiroptera; Phyllostomidae
Exons: 3
Source: RefSeq, a predicted model, not a curated record
CCCACAGGGGUUGGACAUGCAGGUUGGACACCCCUGGUAAGGCUUCCCCUGGCCAGGCCCUGAGCUAGGUGCUAAUCCCCAAACAACUAUUUCGGGUUCUCAGUCCUGGCUACGCAUCAAAACCACUUGAGGGGGCUUAGCAAUAUCCCAUGAACUGAGUCCGCCCCCAGGUCAAUCCCACCAGGUAGGUUCUGGGGGUGGAGUAGGCAUCUGUAUUUUGGGGGGCAUGCUAUAAUUUAAAGUGUAUUUAAACACCAAUGUGCACAGCAGUGUUAUUCACAAGAGGCAAAAUGUGGAAGCAACUCAAAUAUCCACCAAUGAUGGAUGGAUGAACAGCUGUGGUCCAUCCAAGUAAUGAUCAUUCAGCCAUGAAGAGGGAGGGAAUUCUGACACACACUACAACGUGGACGGACCUUGAGGAUAGCAAGCCAGUCACAAAAGGACAAACACUGUAUGACGCCCCUCACACGAGGGACCUAGGGGAGUCAGGCUCAGAGACACGGAAAGCAGGAUGGAGGGUGCCGGGAGCUGGGGGAGGGGAGCGGGGAGUUCGUGUUUAAUGGGGGCAGAGCCUCAGUCUGGGAAGACGGAAAAGUUCUGGAGAUGAUGGUGCUGGUUGUUUACACAACAGUGUGAAUGUUGUGAAACUUAAUGCUACCUAAACAUGAUUAAAACGGUCAAUUUCAUGUUAUGCAUAUUUUACCACAUUAAAUGAAAUACAUUCAAAAUCCCCAGAUGACAGAGUGUGCAGCGAGGGGUCAGCACUGCCGGUCCAGUCUAAGGGGGCAGGUGCAACCCCCACCGUACACAUGAGGAGCUCACAACAACAUAGAAGGGGACGGUGACGUGCUCCAGGUCAUAACUGCCUGUCUGAAGGAGGACCCCUCCUUGGGGCCACCUCGUUGUCCUGAGUCAUGACAGAGGCUCGAACCAGCUCUCCGCCUCUGGAAACACUCUCCUGUCUCCACGUGGCCCUAAGCCCAGGGAGGCCAUUCUCCAGCAGCCCCCUGCUAGGGAGUGCUAUCGACAGUGCUGGGGGGCCCCCGGUCCGAUGCUCAGCACACCCAACACCACACCCUCACUGCCCUUUGCUCACUCACCUCCCCCACCAGCCUGUAAACUCCCGGGGACAGAGAGGCUUGCAGGGCCCUGCUUUGGCUCCGAGGUGUAUGCAGACAACAAACCGGGAACAGGGCACACCUGCAUUCCGAUUUCCCUUCUGCUAGUUGCCAGCUGUGCAGCCUCCAGCAAAUGGUAUCACCUCUCUGAACCUCAGUUCCCUCAGCUGUAAACGGGCUAACAGUAGCACCCACCUCUUGCAGAUGCUGACCAGGUUAAAUGUGGUAUUUCGUGUUGAAUGCCCUGCCCUUUGUAGCUGCUCAAUAAAUGGUGGCUAUUGAGUUCAGCGGGACCUUGAUUAAAGACAGUUCACCUCUGAGAAACGGUCAGGAUGACCAGAGAACCCCUGACUGCCCAUCAACAGAGAGAUGCUUAAGGAAGCCGUGGCCCACAUGUGCGGUGUAGUCCUAGAGAGCAGGGAAAAGAAUGAAGGGUGCGAGAUCUGCCAAGGAUUCCACCAUCACAACAUCCAAAGUGCAGAAGCAAAACCACACACAUGCCUGUGUUUUCCUACACACUUACAUGCACGGGCUGCAUAUACAUGGAUCUAACACAUAAGAGGGGGCAGACAUGUGUCAGGCUGAUGACAGCUGUCUUCCUGGGUAGGGGGGAAGUAGCUUGCGGGGGGGCGGGGGCGGGGCAGGGCAGGGCACAGAGCAACUUCAGCUUUAUCUACACUGUUUCAACUCCUGCAGGAAGCCAUAUCCACAUACUGUGCAUUUAAUUAAAAAGAAAUAAAGACAAAUCCCCAGAGGUUUCAGAAAUUAGGAUCAAUUUCUGUUCCUUCCACAGAAUUAUCAGAUUGGUCAGAAUCCCACCUUCUUAGAGAGAGCUGGAGGGUAGCUGAGAUCUUACCGUUUCCAACCUCUCAGGGGUCUAGCAGAUCACCUGGAUUGUGAAACAAUACACGUUCAUUGAUCAAUCAGAACGUACAGAACAGUGUUAGGGAAGAGAGUAAAGUGCACAAGAAUGCCGUCACGUGGGCUCAUGGCCUGCACGUUUGCAUGUUGGUGACCGUCAUGGUAUGUGUUCUCUUGCUGUACACACACACACACACACACACCAGUAUAAAAGUGUAGAUGCUAGCCUAUCUCAUACAUGUUGGCUUUUUUUAAACUGCACCUCCGAAUCCAUGCUAACUCAGUGACAUGUAUCAGGGUCGCACAAACACUUUCUGUGAAGGGCUAGACAGCAAACACUCCAGGCUUUUGUGGCCACACUCUGCUGUGGCAUGAAUGGGCGGGGCCGGGUCCCCAUAAAACCCUUAUUUAGAAAGCCAGGAGGUGGGCUGGAGAGCCCGCUGGCCCCCGGUAUCUAUCAGCUCAGAUCUUUCUCCACAGCCACACAUAAUCUAACACGCAUGUGCAGAAAUUUAUUUUGUCCUCAGUUUCCGUGGCUGUGUUCCUCAGCUUGUUUUACAAAAAGGGCAUCACGUGAUACCUAGGUCUCUGCCUCAUGC